This 692-nucleotide ribosomal RNA is filed under the name Brevibacterium sp. 11434. RNAcentral's name for it is "bacterial SSU rRNA". It matches the Rfam family "Bacterial small subunit ribosomal RNA", at positions 56 to 754 of the family's 1533-position model. Lineage: Bacteria; Bacillati; Actinomycetota; Actinomycetes; Micrococcales; Brevibacteriaceae. The record is from RNAcentral.
UGCAGUCGAACGCUGAAGCCUGGAGCUUGCUUCGGGUGGAUGAGUGGCGAACGGGUGAGUAACACGUGAGUAACCUGCCCCUGACUUCGGGAUAAGCCUGGGAAACUGGGUCUAAUACCGGAUAUGACCUGCUACCGCAUGGUGGUGGGUGGAAAGUUUUUUCGGUUGGGGAUGGGCUCGCGGCCUAUCAGCUUGAUGGUGGGGUAAUGGCCUACCAUGGCGACGACGGGUAGCCGGCCUGAGAGGGCGACCGGCCACACUGGGACUGAGACACGGCCCAGACUCCUACGGGAGGCAGCAGUGGGGAAUAUUGCACAAUGGGGGAAACCCUGAUGCAGCGACGCAGCGUGCGGGAUGACGGCCUUCGGGUUGUAAACCGCUUUCAGUAGGGAAGAAGCCUCUUGGGGUGACGGUACCUGCAGAAGAAGUACCGGCUAACUACGUGCCAGCAGCCGCGGUAAUACGUAGGGUACGAGCGUUGUCCGGAAUUAUUGGGCGUAAAGAGCUCGUAGGUGGUUGGUCACGUCUGCUGUGGAAACGCAACGCUUAACGUUGCGCGUGCAGUGGGUACGGGCUGACUAGAGUGCAGUAGGGGAGUCUGGAAUUCCUGGUGUAGCGGUGAAAUGCGCAGAUAUCAGGAGGAACACCGGUGGCGAAGGCGGGACUCUGGGCUGUAACUGACACUGAGGAGC